RNAcentral lists this unclassified non-coding RNA (712 nucleotides) under Hevea brasiliensis (rubber tree). Lineage: Eukaryota; Viridiplantae; Streptophyta; Magnoliopsida; Malpighiales; Euphorbiaceae. The record is from RNAcentral.
GAGUAUACAAAAGACACAGAGACAAAAUGCAACAAAUUAUUCAGUUCAUGAGAAAACAUAUAAUGUUAAAAUUUGAGGCAACUUCAGUACAAUUAUUGGACUAUUCUCUUCCCUCAAUUCAAAAGAAUCUCCCAAUUUCCACUUUUUAAUAAUCAAAAUCACCUAUAACAUCCCAAGCAAAAAAAGAUCAUUUUUUUCUGAUUCUGUAGACUUACUAGCCUCUGCUUUAGCUAAGAACUAUUUGAACUCCCUUCCAAUUUGGUGUCGUUGCCUUCAUCCUUCAGCUUCUCCUUCUCCUUCUCCAAUUCAGCCCCUGCAGCUUUCUCAGCUUGUAAUAUAGGAGCAUAAUAGUCAGAGUGCACCUCCAUACACUUCCUCAAAGCAGAAGUAACCUCAAAACACUUUUCCACUAUAUCCUCUUUGUUCUUCUCCCCUUCUUCAAUACAUUUUUCCCAGUCAAUAAAAGAGUCUCUACAACCUCCCCCUUUCAUAAACAAGCAAAACCCACAUUCACCCUCCUCCUCUUCUUCCUCCUCGUUUCCAAUUUCUUCUUGGUCUUCCUCCUUAGGUUUUUGGGUUUCACUCGUUUCAGCUUCAUGGGUCUCUUCAAUUUCAGAUUUUGAUUCGUGGGUCGGUUCAAUUUUGGAUUUUGAUUCGUGGGUCGGUGAGGAAGACAUGGUGAGGAUUGUUGAAUUGGGGGAGCUAGGGUUUG